RNAcentral lists this ribosomal RNA (492 nucleotides) under uncultured bacterium. RNAcentral describes it as "partial 16S ribosomal RNA". It matches the Rfam family "Bacterial small subunit ribosomal RNA", at positions 36 to 507 of the family's 1533-position model. The record is from RNAcentral.
AUUUCCCUCUUUCUUUCUGCCUAACACAUGCAAGUCGAACGGCAGCACAGUAAGAGCUUGCUCUUACGGGUGGCGAGUGGCGGACGGGUGAGGAAUACAUCGGAAUCUACUUUUUCGUGGGGGAUAACGUAGGGAAACUUACGCUAAUACCGCAUACGACCUACGGGUGAAAGCAGGGGAUCUUCGGACCUUGCGCGAUUGAAUGAGCCGAUGUCGGAUUAGCUAGUUGGCGGGGUAAAGGCCCACCAAGGCGACGAUCCGUAGCUGGUCUGAGAGGAUGAUCAGCCACACUGGAACUGAGACACGGUCCAGACUCCUACGGGAGGCAGCAGUGGGGAAUAUUGGACAAUGGGCGCAAGCCUGAUCCAGCCAUACCGCGUGGGUGAAGAAGGCCUUCGGGUUGUAAAGCCCUUUUGUUGGGAAGGAAAAGCAGCAGGUUAAUACCCCGCUGUUCUGACGGUACCCAAAGAAUAAGCACCGGCUAACUUCGUG